RNAcentral lists this ribosomal RNA (459 nucleotides) under uncultured bacterium. Its description in RNAcentral is "partial 16S ribosomal RNA". It matches the Rfam family "Bacterial small subunit ribosomal RNA", at positions 338 to 795 of the family's 1533-position model. The record is from RNAcentral.
CCUACGGGAGGCAGCAGUGAGGAAUAUUGGUCAAUGGGCGGGAGCCUGAACCAGCCAAGUCGCGUGAAGGAAGAAGGUACUUAGUAUUGUAAACUUCUUUUGUCGGGGAAUAAAGGCGGAGACGCGUCUUCGGAUGAGUGUACCCGAUGAAAAAGCAUCGGCUAAUUCCGUGCCAGCAGCCGCGGUAAUACGGAGGAUGCGAGCGUUAUCCGGAUUUAUUGGGUUUAAAGGGUGCGCAGGCGGGAGAUUAAGUCAGCGGUAAAAUGUCGGGGCUCAACCCCGGCCGGCCGUGGAAACUGGUUUUCUAGAGUGGGAGGGAAGUAUGCGGAAUUCGUGGUGUAGCGGUGAAAUGCAUAGAUAUCACGAAGAACUCCGAUUGCGAAGGCAGCAUACGGGCGCGAUACUGACGCUGAGGCUCGAAGGCGUGGGGAUUGAACAGGAUUAGAUACCCCAGUAGUC